Molecule: long non-coding RNA, 2873 nt
Organism: Tachysurus fulvidraco (yellow catfish)
Lineage: Eukaryota; Metazoa; Chordata; Actinopteri; Siluriformes; Bagridae
Exons: 3
Source: RefSeq, a predicted model, not a curated record
AUGCCCUACAGUGCCUCCGUCCCGCCCAGUCCCGUACAGCACCACCCUGGUCACCUGCUCUGCCGGCUCUGCCCUGGCCUCCCGCACGGCCGGAUGGGAGGGAGGGGAGAGAGAGGGAGAGAGAGAGGGAGAAUAACCAAUAACACCACUAGUAAUUAAAACAGAGCAUCAAACAAAUGAGUAGCAGCAGAAUUACUAAACACACAGAAUAUAUUUCAGGGUCCAUCAGUAACAUCAGUAACAUCAGUAAGCUGUUGCUUCAGGUGGUUCUUUCCUUCUCGUCUUCUGUAUGAAAAACUCUCAAACUGGAUUUUAAUGAUCAGUGUGUUACUUUAAAUGUAAGUUUGUUCAUUUAUGAACCCAUGUAUGAAUUUAUUUUUGUGCGUAACAUAAUGAUCUGACCACUAGGGGGAGAUAUUGUGAAGGAUGAAGGUUCUUGGACCCUGAUGAUACAGUAUGUAUCGAAAUGAUGCUAUUUGUACACACAGGUCCUGUUCAUGAUGUAGCAUUAACCGCUUCCUGACUGUUGGCCUGCGUACAAUGUUAAAGUUUAAAAUAACACAAAACAUAGAAUUACUGUAUUAUUAACGACUAAGUGAGCAUUUUUUAAUACCUCAUUCCCCUCUAUAACCUCCCACUAAGCUAUGGCCUACGGCCCACAAGGAAUAAUAAACAUACAUCAGCAACCAACCAAUUAAUACCAGAAUCUUUAAACAUGACACAAUUAUUUAAAACGAUCUUAUUGUUCAAUGUGAAGUUUUGCUUUAAUAAACCAUUCUUUUGAAUUCCUUCAGGAUCUAAAAAGGAUCUCAUCAACAUAACGUCUUUAUCAAAAAAAAAAAAAAAAAAAGAAAGAGAAAAGUGGACACAGAGUGUCGGAUUUUUCAAGAAAAAUGGACCUAAUCCUAUAUGUUCACGGAGGUGAAUGGGAAACCCGUAUGAAACUCAGAAUGGCGAAAAAAGGGCCAUGCAUUUAUGGUUGAUUUCACAGAGCACUUGAAUAAUCUGAACAAAAUGUUGCAAGUAGAGAUGAGCCGGAUACUCGGCUGAAACGAGUAUCCUGUACGGAUAAAGCACUUCUGCCGAGUACGAGUAUUAUACGAGUAAUACGAGUCAAUAUCUGCGCUCGGAUUGAAUGAAAAUCAUCAUUGGGUAUCUGAUUGUGUCAGCGUUCUGUGAUAGGCUAGUCACAGCGCCCCUCCCCCACACACAUACACAUGUAUUGUGUUGUUGUGUCUCGCUCUGCUCACUCACAGUCACACACACAACAGCUCUCUGUCUCUCCCUCAGUCACUCGGGUUCGCGGUGCUUUUCCGCUAACGUUUAGGGUUUCUUCAGCUUUUUACUUAACGUUAAUAAUACGUACUUACUAACCAGUAGAGUUCUGCUAAACGUGGGUUCGUUCAGACUUGGUGCUUGCUCGGUAGAAUGCGACUCGCAUUGCGUCUCUGUCUGUCGGAGUUUUUAUUUCUUUUUUUAACCUUCAGCUAUCCUAAAUUAACAGCACUGGCUGAAAAAAUGUUGUCAGUACAGUACCUACCUUCGUGAGCAAGCUUUUUCAGUAAUGAACAUUAAUAAAACAAAGCUGCACUCAAAGCUCACACAUAAGCACUUACAUGAGAUUCUAAAAUUAAUGUCUACUCAGGACAUAAUGCCUGAUAUUGAUGCACUUGUGCAGGCUAAAAGAUGGCAAGUUUCAGGGGAAAAUUGAUCAAAUAAAUUUGUUUACUUUAAAAAACAUACAUACGCAUAAAUUAACAAUUUUUACAAAGAGUUUCUUUUUAAAACAGCUGCCACUUAAGAUUUUAAGUGUGUGGACAAUCUCUAUGUUUUGAUGUUUGAUUUAUGUUAAAAUGCAGGACAGUUUGUUUUUAAGGUAAACAAACCUGCGACUAAAUGUUUGCGCCAUUGUACAAUAACUGUGUACAGUUUUUAUGCAUAAUGCACUUAAAUAAAUCUUAAACUGGGUAAAAGUGUUGUUGCACAAUUGCACAUACUACUUACUGUAGGUUGUUCGUAAUAUAUUUUUGUAAAAGAACAAUUCAUGUAAUAUAAAGAUUUUUACAAUUAAACUUGUUUAAAAAAGUGGACUUAUUGUUAGUUCUAUGUAAUUUUGCUAUGAGUUUACUGGUCUGGGUCCCUUGAGAUCAGAUUAAGCUGUAUGCGACCCCCAGACCAAAAUGAGUUUGACACCCCUGCUCUAUAUGAAAGACUUGUCUUGAACAAUUUCUUGCUAGCCAAAAGAACAAUGCUAACUAACUAAGCCAUUACAGGAGCCGUCCAAACUGGAGUCCUUAGAUUAAUAACUACAUUUAGAGUUCAACUUUCACUCGUUCACCAAAGCAAUACACUCCAACUUCAGUGUGCUAGGGAACAUAAAGGUUGGACUUGGAUCUGGAGUUGUUUUAAUUGCCUAGAUCAAGGUUUAGUAACGUUUAAAUCAGUAUACUGCAUGAUUUUUAAUGUUAGAUAAAUGAGAUCUGACUCAGUUGCACAAGUUUUCUAGUGAACUUCUGUGACAAGAGGUACAACACCACCGCAAAAACCUUCUGGGUUCCUCUUAAGAAUCAGCCACCAGCCACCGGCCACCAAUAAAACUACCAACACAAGGGUCAGUGCCUCACAGUGAAGAACAUUGAAGCUGCAGCACAGCAGAAGCCCAAGAAAAUUAUUUCAUUACAAGGUUUACUGGAUCUCUUCCGCUCAGUGAAAAUGCCGCAACCUGCUAUGAAAACAGACUCGAAGUCACUCGGGAUUGUCCAGAUGAUGAUCGGAGCUGUGAUACUUUCAUUCGGUUUUCUGUUAAACAAUGUUCCGUUAAACAAUGUUCCGUUACACAAUGUUCCGUUAAACAAUGUUCCAUUAAACAAUGU